ACUCCUGCGGGAGGCAGCAGUGGGGAAUUUUGGACAAUGGGCGAAAGCCUGAUCCAGCAAUGCCGCGUGAGUGAAGAAGGCCUUCGGGUUGUAAAGCUCUUUUGUCAGGGAAGAAACGGUGAAAGCUAAUAUCUUUUGCUAAUGACGGUACCUGAAGAAUAAGCACCGGCUAACUACGUGCCAGCAGCCGCGGUAAUACGUAGGGUGCAAGCGUUAAUCGGAAUUACUGGGCGUAAAGCGUGCGCAGGCGGUUUUGUAAGUCUGAUGUGAAAUCCCCGGGCUCAACCUGGGAAUUGCAUUGGAGACUGCAAGGCUAGAAUCUGGCAGAGGGGGGUAGAAUUCCACGUGUAGCAGUGAAAUGCGUAGAUAUGUGGAGGAACACCGAUGGCGAAGGCAGCCCCCUGGGUCAAGAUUGACGCUCAUGCACGAAAGCGUGGGGAGCAAACAGGAUUAGAAACCCCUGUAGUCCCAUG
RNAcentral lists this ribosomal RNA (473 nucleotides) under uncultured organism. Its description in RNAcentral is "partial 16S ribosomal RNA". It matches the Rfam family "Bacterial small subunit ribosomal RNA", at positions 335 to 799 of the family's 1533-position model. The record is from RNAcentral.